This 65-nucleotide transfer RNA is filed under the name Thelepus plagiostoma. Its description in RNAcentral is "tRNA-Tyr". Lineage: Eukaryota; Metazoa; Annelida; Polychaeta; Terebellida; Terebellidae. The record is from RNAcentral.
AGUAAGAUGGCAGAAAUUUAUGCAAUAGAUUGUAAACCUAUCAAUGGGUAUCUACCCUCUUACUA